AUAGAGUGGUUGGGUUGGAAGGGACCUUAUAGGUCAGAGGGACGUAAAAUGGUUGGGUUGAGUGGGAAGGGAUCUUAUAGGUCUACCUUACGGAUUGCAGAGCCAUGGGUUGGGUUGGAAGGGACCUCAUAGAUCACAGAGCUGUAGAGUGGUUGGGUUGGAAGGGAUCUUAUCGGUCAUGGAGCCAUGGAAUGGUUGGGUUGAGUUGGAAGGGACCUCAUAGAUCAUAGAGUGGUUGUGUUGGAAGGGACCUCGUAGAUCAUAGAGUUGUAGAGUGAUUGGGUUGGAAGGGACUGUGUGGGUCACAGAGCUGUAGUGUGGUUGGGUUGGGUGGGAUUGGAAGAGUCCUUAUGGAUCACAGAGCCACCAAAUGGUUGGGUUGGAAAGGAUCUUAAUUGAUCACGGAGGCAUAGAAUGGUUGGGUUGGGUUGGAAGGGGCCUCACAGAUCAUAGAGUCAUAGAGUGGUUGGGUUGGAAGGGACUGUGUGGGUCACAGAGCUGUAGAGUGGUUGGGUUGGAAGGGAUCUUAUCGGUCAUGGAGCCAUGGAAUGGUUGGGUUGGGUUGGAAGGGACCUCAUAGAUCAUAGAGUGGUUGGGUUGGAAGGGACCUUAUAGGUCAUAGGGACGUAAAAUGGUUGGGUUGAGUGGGAAGGGAUCUUAUAGGUCGACUUUAUGGAUUGAAGAGCCAUGGGUUGGGUUGGAAGGAACCUCAUAGAUCAUAGAGUGGUUGUGUUGGAAGGGACCUCAUAGAUCAUAGAGUUGUAGAGUGGUUGGGUUGGAAGGGACUGUGUGGGUCACAGAGCUGUAGUGUGGUUGGGUUGGGUGGGAUUGGAAGAGUCCUUAUGGAUCACAGAGCCACCAAAUGGUUGGGUUGGAAAGGAUCUUAAUUGAUCACGGAGGCAUAGAAUGGUUGGGUUGGGUUGGAAGGGGCCUCACAGAUCAUAGAGUGGUUGGGUUGGAAAAGACUUUGUAGAUCACAGAGCUGUAGAGUGGUUGGGUUGGAAGGGAUCUUAUCGGUCAUGGAGCCAUGGAAUGGUUGGGUUGGGUUGGAAGGGACCUCAUAGAUCAUAGAGUGGUUGGGUUGGAAGGGACCUUAUAGGUCAGAGGGACGUAAAAUGG
Molecule: long non-coding RNA, 1119 nt
Filed under: Gallus gallus (chicken)
Lineage: Eukaryota; Metazoa; Chordata; Aves; Galliformes; Phasianidae
Description: lncRNA (ENSGALG00010007764.1)
Source: RNAcentral